Sander lucioperca (pikeperch) is the source of this 334-nucleotide long non-coding RNA. RefSeq lists it as uncharacterized. The transcript is spliced from 3 exons. Lineage: Eukaryota; Metazoa; Chordata; Actinopteri; Perciformes; Percidae. The record is from RefSeq and is a predicted model, not a curated record.
CGCCUACACAUGAUAGGCGGCAAAACCGCUUUGCGCCGGCCGCUCCAUUGAUUUCCUAGGCGCUGUACUACCCCUGCCGUUGCGCACCGCUCGGAUUUGCCGCUUUGCACUGCGCUCAAAGUUUAAAUUAUUUCAACUUUGACCUAUUUGCCGCUGACCUUUCGAAAGCGGAACAAAUGAGAUAACAUCAUGUUGUUACCUAGCAACAGGAAAUAGCUUCCUUGCCACCCUUGAUGACAAAUACCUGCGCUGCGCUUUACUCUCUGGGCUUUGCUCUGCACCCUACCUAGCGGUGCGCAGAGAGCAAAUCGCUUAUCUAACAGAGGAAAUCUCA